RNAcentral lists this unclassified non-coding RNA (18 nucleotides) under Chlamydomonas reinhardtii. Its description in RNAcentral is "small RNA Cre_1200". The record is from RNAcentral. Lineage: Eukaryota; Viridiplantae; Chlorophyta; Chlorophyceae; Chlamydomonadales; Chlamydomonadaceae.
CGACGGAGCGGUCCGUUA